UGUGAUUUGGCCUUCACUAGAUUCCCAGAAAUCUGUGGGCUGGAAAUGCCAUGAAGAUUAGGCAAAAGUGAAAUCUUUUAGUUUAUCCAGACAUAUUUGUCUCUGCUCAGCAGAGCAAAUACAUUUGCUUUCCAUAUUUGCCCAUCAGUUAAAGGAUUUUUGGUUACUGCUGCCAAUUUUUAGCUGCUUCAAAGCCUGGACAAUUCUUUUGUCUCUUCUUCAUCACGUGAGCUAACAUGAUGAAGAAAAGGUGGGUGAAGGAGGAACAUGCACAUACCCACACAAAGAUCAAAGACCAAGCAGAACUCUCAAGCAGCCUAAAUAGAUAACAUUAUCAAACUCCCCGUCUGCUUCUCUACAGCUCCGUUAAUACCUCUGGGAUCAAAGAACUGAAGGACCCAGUCAGAGUAA
This 411-nucleotide long non-coding RNA is filed under the name Gallus gallus (chicken). RNAcentral describes it as "lncRNA (ENSGALG00010017028.1)". The record is from RNAcentral. Lineage: Eukaryota; Metazoa; Chordata; Aves; Galliformes; Phasianidae.